GUCGGGGGCGCCCGCGGGGCGGGGGGGACGCGCCGGGAUCCCGCGGCGGGAGCGGCCCGGCGGCUCCGCCGCCCUCACGGGGCUCCCGGCGGCGGCACGGGGCGGAGACCUCGCGGCGCGGCUGCCGGGGCUGCGGCGGGGGCGGCAGGUGACAGGUCGGUGGUCUCCUGGCUCCGCAGGCGCCGCCGGGGUGAGUGAGGGCCCGGCCAGGCCACAGCGCCGCCCUCACGGCCUCUCGCCCCCGUGGCGCGCGCCUCACCUGUUCUCCUCCUUCUACCUCCUUCAUUCCUGAAUUAAUUCAUUUUGAAUUAAUUAACUUUUUUACUGAAUUUAACCUUUGUUGGUACUGUCGCAAAAUGUGGAAUAUGUAGAAAUUUUCUUAAGGAUGUUGUGUGAUAUUUGAUGAGCGUGUGCUUUCAAGCCUUGGCAAGAAGAAGGGAGGUUUAAUCCCUGAAACAAAUAGCAGCUCACAAGCUCUAAGUGAUGUCCAGGUGUUAGAGAAACAAGUUGCUGUUGGUAGAGUUGCCUUGUUAAGGUUGAGCCCUGGACAUGCUUCAUGAUCUCAGGCUCAGAAGGAGUUUAGCAAAGCCUGGGGAAAAGCAUGUGCUGGUGCUGGUGGACACAGGAAAUGCACAAUUGAUGGGCAACAAAGACACGGGGCAGGACUGCCAGCGUGGGGAAUGAACUAAUAAACCCAAUCUGGUAAUUGUAUGAAUCAACCCCAGCUGGGUGAUUCUGGCAGGGGGAGAUCACAGCCUCCAACUCAUGGACUGCUGACCCAAGAAACCACCAACCCAAAGGAAGAGAAACACUGAGCAGGGCACUAAUUAGCAUGAGAAGCAAGAGAAUCGUUAGCCAAUAGACGAUAGAACACUAAUUAAAAGAGAACUAUGUAAUAUGUAGCCAAUGAACACUGAUGGCUUAUUAAGAAAACCUUUUAAACCAUGUGUGAGAUACAGAUUAUUGAGAUUUUUUAUUGUGAGCAAUAUUGGACAUUGCUAGCACCCAGAAGUUGAUAAGGACAUUGUAUUCCUGUCUCUUUAACAAUUAAAUAAUCUAUCUGCUAAUUAAAACUUGGUCUUAAAGGAAAUCUCCACUUCCCAGUUUAUCUGAUUUGCACAAUUAUAGGCUGGUGCUGAACUGCAGCUGCAUUUCAGUGGUGACUGAAGUGAUCCUUAUAUAAACACUGUCCUUCAGCUGGCCUGAAAAAUACAGAAUAUUUGGAUUCAUUUAGGAAAUCCUAUCAGGUCUCUCUUAGAAAUCAUGGCACUCCAAGGACAGAGAGAUAAUUAAUGUGAUAAUUUAAUAAUUAAUGCUUUUCACUUAUGCAAUAAUCCUCAUCCUCAAGUCUAAAUUAAAAUAAUCCUUAUCCUGAAGUCUAAAAUAAUUCUAGUUGAUGAGUUGUUUUGUGAAAUUUCUCAAAGAAUUUAGGGUUUUUUAAUGACAAAAGAUGUUAUAUGUGAACUGUGAGCCUGGUGUGAAAUUUUAUAGUAGUUUUAAGAAGUAAUUUUAUCUUUAGAUAGCUACAAAUGAAAAGAAUGAAUAAUUGAAUCUUUUUUUAAUGGGGACAAAAUACAAUAAUAAAAAGCUAAUAGGAAUUUAUAUUAAAUUUUUAACGAGUUAUAAAUUCUAUUAUAGUCUCAAUAUAGAGCUGCAGGUGUCAGAGUUCCCCAGGUGUUGUGCACAAAACCCACUGUGAACAUACAGGUGUCCCAGAAGCAGGUGGGUCACAGCACAGAUGUGCUGUACAUGUGUGCAGCAGCUGAAAAUGCACAGAUUUCUCAGUGGGAUUUUCUAGAAAGACAGAAAAUAGAGAAAUAAUUUUACUACAUAAUAAAUAAAGAAUAAAUAUUAAUGGAAAGGCUAAGAAAUUCAAGUAAGGGGAAGACCUUAAAAGUUUGAGUUUGGUUUAGGAAUUAAGAUAUUUAUAAAAAUAAACUCAAUUUUUCUUUUUGCUCUCUGGUUUUUGAGGCUUUGCAAAGGCUGCCUUCUUGUUUUCAGGCUGAAGUUUAGAAAUUGUGGGUGUUUUUGUGUUGACUAAAGCUCUAUUUUCAUGUCACCCCAGUGCCAAACGCUCAGCCAGUCAGGAUAACCUCAAAUACCACGAGAACUCCAGUGGCAUGGCAAAAGUACUGUAACUUCUUUUACAUUGUACAUUUCCAUAGCAUGGUAUAAAAUGAACUUGUUCAAGCAUUUUAAUGGAAACAGAUAUGUUUGUGUCAUUGUGUGAUUCUUCUAGUAAAUCAAGGAGUGAUGAAAGUAUCUGAACUUCAACAGAACUUCAACAUGCAACAGAAAAUUCUUUUAGACCACUGUGUGAAGUAUUCUAUGAGAAAUAGAUCCUGUCACUACAAUAGAUCAUAAAUCAGCCAUGUUUUAAAUUAUGUUUAAAUCUCAGUGAUGCUGAAAUCUCUGCCUGCUGCAGGUUUCCUGAGGCUGCUGCUACAAUGGACAGACAAGAGGGUGACAGUGAGAGCCACCAUUUAAAGCCAGAUCAACCCUGAUCUGAGACAUCUGAGCCUGUUCUCUGCAGUGUGUUGGAACCAGAGCAGGACAUUCUUCAGUUUGUUCAGGCUCUUGACUCUUGGGUUGGCCCAUCUUUGGGAAGACUUGAUUGUGGCCAGUGAACAGGAAAGAUGGAGAGAGACUGUUUCCAAGGGCUUGGAGUGAUAGGACAAGGGGAAAUGACUCCCCACUGCCAGAGGGCAGGGUUGGAUGGGAUGUUUGGAAGGAAUUGUUCCCUGUGAAGGAAACAGGGGCUCCAUGUGUUCACAGGAGGCCCUGUCAAAGGGUGCCCAGAGCAGCUGGGGCUGCUCCAUCACUGCAAGUGUCCAAGGCCAGGCUGGAAGGGGCUUGGAGCAACCUGGGAUAGUGGAAGGUGUCCCUGCCAGGACACUCCCUGGCAGGGAAUGGAACAAGAUUAUCUUCAAGGUCCCUUCCAGCCCAAACCAUUCCAUGAUACUGUGAUUUUACAUGAACUGUCUGUGUACUAAUGUGGCUAAAAAAGGCACUGCAGAUGACUCCGGCAGAACAGACCAAGAUAAAUGCCUGGAUAAGGCAGGGAGAAGAUAAGAUUGUUCCACACUAUUGUUUUUGAAUUGCUUUUUAAUACACCCCUGGAGUGUCUAUAUUCCAAUCUGCUGCACAAUCCUGCAUGAGACUAUUCCUCUUUAACCAGUGACAUUUAAAAAGGAACCACGAAACCCCCUCCACACGCAGGCUGCAGUUCAGUGAACUGGAUGAAUGAUCUUUGCACAUCCCCAUGGGCAUGCACAGCUGAAUAUAGAUCACCCAGAAAACCUGCCAGCUGUAUGGAGUGAGGCUGAGCACUCCUGCAAACCUGUCAGCCCCGUGGGUUUUGGCUGGGCACUCCUGCCUCUGCUCCAGUGUGGGGUCUCUGCAGAGAAUUCCAGCUGCAGGUGGAGCAGCCCUGCUGUGUGUUUUGGGCCAAACAUGAAUUAAUAACAACAAAUAAUCUUGUUUCUUUUCCACCGAGAAUCCAAACAGGACAGCUUUGGGAGAAGGGCAGAAGAAAACAUGGCUGUUGCAGAUGUUGUACCCACAAAGAAUAAUGAAAUUGUUAAUGCUGGAAAAGACCUCUAAGAUCACCAAAUCCAACCAUCAAUGCAGCACCACCAUCACCUUCACCACUAAGCCAUGUGGUGCUUUGGGCACUUCUUUGUCCUGGUUGUUGUCAUCGACUAUGAAGUGAUGUGGACAUGAGCAGCCAGUGGCCUUUUCUGUCCCAGAGAUGGGCAAAACUGUGAACACCUCUUAAUUUUAGAUGUUCUUGUACUGCAGACUCUUCAGAGGCAGGGCUGUAAUGCUGUAAGAAAACACAGGGAAUGUUUCAGUGGAAAAAGAAUUGCAGUGGCAUCUCCUCUCGGGCCCUGAGCAGGCAGGGAGACCCAGGGGCACUGAGGAGGUGGGUUUGUGUCCCAGCUCAGGGGCUGCUCUGGCUUUGUCCCUCCACGUGCUGGGUGGGAUUUGCAUUUCCCUGGCGCUGGUGAUGUCAGGAGCUGCCAGGACAAAAGGGAACAGGAGGCUUGGAAACAACAAGGAUCAAGGAAAGAGAAAAGCCAAGUUUUAAAAAGCGAGUGCUUAGUCACGGAGACACAGACACAGGAGGGCUGGCAGGGGCCUAUUUCCAUGCUGAAACUCCCCCUCAUUCCCAGACUUGCUCUGGCUGUGUUUGCUGUUGAGAUAACAUCCCCUUCCCCCACCACCCACAGAUAACUGAAGGAGCAGCCGUUGAAAAAGGAAAAAGAAAAAAAAAAAAAGAAAAAGGCAGUUGCCUUGCUCUGCCUGCAGGAGAAAUGUCAGGAAGUGUCUGGUGGUGGGUGGGAUGAAAGGAGGAAGCUGAACUCUAAAGAGAAUAUUCUAGCUCUGCUCAUGCAAAAAAAAGCCCCUCUGUAUUCUGCUUGAUAAAAACAUACAGGAGCAAGUCCUCCUGCCUGUAGGAGCUUGGAGUGACUUACACACCUCUGAGAGAUUUAUUUGUACAUGCUGCAUUACCCCCAGCACCCCAGGAACUGGAGGGGAAAAGAUGGAAACAGCUUGGGAAAAGCACAAACAUCAUCAAUAAUUAAUAGUUCCUUUUUUGUAAUAGGAACGAUCCAAUAUUAAUUAUGAAGUUAAUUUCUGUUUGAAUGGUUCGUGCCUGUGUAUGAAAUUUGGACCAGAAUUUAAGUUCAGUGCAAUCAUGCUUUUAUUCUAAUUACAAUAAUUAUAAAUCUAUUUUGCAUUCUCUUUUUAAGUCUCAAUAACACAGGCUUUGUUUUCCAAAUAUGCCAGACAGCAGUUUUUGCACACCAAAUAUGGCAGCUCUCAGCUCCCCAAAGUGAAUCUGGUUAUAAAUACAAAAGAAAUUGUUUUGAUUCAUUGUCAGUGUACCAAUGUGAAAAUAAGCCUAGAACAGGGGUCAAGAUAAGUACUUUGGAUUUCUGAAGUCACAGAGUCAACAGGGAGGAAAGAACUUAAUUGCACACAUCAUGAAAUAUUUAAACAGACAGUGACCAAUGUGCAGAUGUGGGAUGCAGACUUUUAUAGCUAAUUCUGUUACAAACAGCUGAUGCUGCUCUGUGUCAGGGACUCUGUAUCUUUCUUACUCUGGAGCCUUAAAAAUCAUCAGGGCACCAUUUUGAAGCUUAUUUUUUGUACUGGGUGAUCUGUUGGGAAAAAUUCUAUGGCAGAAGCACAAAACCCAGACAGAGAACUGAGUUUCUUAUUGAACUGUAGACCACCAGCUCGAUGCCCUCUUGGGACAUGGGUGUAUUGGUGGGUGGAGGUUGCCAUAAGAGCAAGCAGAAAAUUUCUCUUUGUUGCACUUGGUUUUCCUAUUACAGUCAUUAUCUAUUUUCCAGCUAUAUCCAUGCCUUUCUUGUGCUGCCAGGACAGACUUAUUGGAAAGUUUUUCUAAUGGAAAUCCAGUUUACAGACAGAAGUUUUAUGAAGGUUCAUGAGAGAUUCUUUUGUUGAAGCAGAAGAAAGGAGAUCUCAAGGAUAUGUCUGGAUUGACAGCUUUGUUGUGCAACUCUGCUGAGUAUUCCUGCAAGGCAGUGACAUCCUUAACUCCAAUUAACAUCACUGGGAAUGGAGGGCUCUUGGAGCCUCCUGGAAGACAGACCUGGCAUGCUGGACUGUCCAAUCACUGGCAGAGCAGCUACUGCUGAGAGUGGAGACUCAGGCAGCAAGAGGAGGGAAAGACCAGAUUAUCCAGAUUGUGUGAUCUUGUCAAGUCACAGAACUUCCCAGCCUCAGAGCUCUCUAUUUUUAAGCCUAUUGGCAUAUUUGUUGUGAUAUGGAGGAAAAACCUCUUGGAGAGCAGAUUUAAUUUGUGCUCAAGGAUCGGUGAAAACAGCACGAGAGGGAGAGGAGAACCCUCAUCAUUGAGUGCCAAGGAAAGUGGCUGUGAGCUGAAGAGCCACUGCAGCAGCUCUUGGCCCCUCCUGCCAUCCUGCCUCAGCUUCAGGUACCAGGUAAUGCUGUUGGCAUUUUGCUUCCUCCUUUAUUCUGUCAAAGGUCACACUUCUGCAUGACACUGUGGUGAGCCCCACAAUGAUUCAUCAUGUUCUGCAGGAAUCCCUAUUCUUCCAGGCAGGUUUAUCCCAGUGUACCACAGACUUGCAGCAGGGCAAGGUAUCUACCCUGCACCUUCUGGGUGCCUCCCUGCUCUGCUCUCCCCUCCCACUCCUCCCUUUGCUUCCUGAUUCUUAAAAUUCCUGAGCACCUCUAGUUCUGGGACAUACUGGAAUUUGUGCACACAGCCCUUAAACUGUUUUCUUCUGGUCAAAAUUUUCCAGGGAAUGCCCAGGGAGUGCAGACAUGGCAUCUCCUCCCAACGUUUAAUUGCUUCUUCAGUGGGAAGGGAUGUUAGUGGGAUUCGUGUUUGUUUGUACUUGGGACACUUACAGAACCUCAUGGGGUAAUUAUUCCUAAUUAGCAGCUUGGACACACGCUGCUCCUUCCUCCUACAAUCUGCAAUUAAUAAUACAGACAUAACUCAGAUUUCUCCUUGCCAGUCUUGUGUUUAUGUUUAUAAUAGGAGGAAACAGUUUAGGGAAAAAAAAUUAUCAGAAUCAAUCUCCUGCUGAGCUCCACACAGGGAUUACCCAAGGAUUAUCCUGUGCUUGUAGCAGCUGAGACAUUCAGAGCUUUGGGCACCUCUGUGUCUGCCUGAUUCCCUCUGUCAUAUUCCUCUAAGUUCUUUUCCUCAUUAGUCAUGGACUGCUUCUUACCAUGGCUUAAUUCAAGUUUUAGAUCAGUUGUACAGUAUGAAAAGUCCUCAGAAGUAGUAUCACUAAUGUUAUUUUUAAAUAGAUUAAUAUUUUGAGGACAAGAAAGGUCUGAAGUUCUUCCUUUUAUUCUUCUCUCUGUGGUCCCUAUUAAACUGAUCUAAUGUUUGCAUGCACUGAACAUCCCAAUAAACAGAUCAAUGUGAA
Long non-coding RNA from Oenanthe melanoleuca, 6941 nucleotides. RefSeq lists it as uncharacterized. The record is from RefSeq and is a predicted model, not a curated record. The transcript has 2 exons. NCBI's taxonomy places the organism in Eukaryota, Metazoa, Chordata, Aves, Passeriformes, Muscicapidae.